Molecule: long non-coding RNA, 1244 nt
Organism: Ictalurus punctatus (channel catfish)
Lineage: Eukaryota; Metazoa; Chordata; Actinopteri; Siluriformes; Ictaluridae
Exons: 4
Source: RefSeq, a predicted model, not a curated record
GAGGCCAAUAAUCCAAACGAACCAAAACAAUGCUGUUACAAAUUCCAGACGAAUAAAAUCCCUCUACGACUGAUUAAGGGGUAUAAAGAAACUCGGACUGACUGUACAAAAGCUGGAAUCAUACCCUGGACUUCUGUGGGUGAAGAAUCACAUGAAGAAAAUUGACCUGCGCUUUCUUUCAGAGCCGAUCCAACCUCGACUGAGCCGUUAAAUCCUCUCUCUGUUAAUAACAAGCUAUCCCGUCUGGUCCGAUCCCACAGAAGAUCUACUGCAGCACAAACUGCUGAAAAAGUUCAUGCUGGAUCUGAUAGAAAGGAGUCAGAACACACAGAGCAUCACAGCUUAUUGUGUAUGGAGCUGUGUAGCUGCAGAGCGGUCAGAGUGUCCAUGCUGACCCCCUGUACACCUCCAAAAUCUCCUACAAUGGACAUCAGAACUGGACCAUGGAGCAGUGGAAGAAGGUGGUCUGGUCUGAUGAAUCAUGUUUUAUUUUACAUCAUGUAUAGGCCGGGUGCGUGUGUGUCACUUAUCUGGGGAAGAGAUGGCACCAGGGUGCACUAUGGGAAGAAUGCGAGUUGUUGUGAUGCUUGUGUUGUUCUCUGCUUGAUGUAUCGCUUUGCUUGUAUUUCCUCAUUUGUAAGUCUCUUUGGAUAAAAGCGUCUGCUAAAUGAAUAAAUGUAAAUGUGAAUGUGAUGCUCUGGGUAAUGUUCUGCUGGGAAACCUUGGGUUCUGGCAUUCAUGUGGAUGUUACUUUGACACGUACCACCUACCUAAAUACUGCAAAAACUCUUCAGGAACGGUUUGAGGAACAUGACAAAGCGUUCAAGGAGUUGACUCGGCCUCCAAAUUCCCCAGAGCUCAAUCCGAUCGAGCGUCUGUGGGAUGUUCUGGACAAACAAGUCCGAUCCACAGAGGCCCCACCUCGCAACUUACAGGACUUAAAGGAUCUGCUUCUAAUGUCUUGGUGCCAGAUACCACAGCACACCUUCAGAGGUCUUGUGGAGUCCAGGCCUCGACAGGUCAGAGCUGUUUUUCGGCCACAAGGAGAGGAGGACCUACACAAUAUCAGGCAGGUGGUUUUAAUGUUAUGGCUGAUCUGUGUAUCUGGUAAUAAUGUUAGAUAAUAACGUCACGACACAUCUGUGUUAUGACGACUGUCGUGUCUGUUAUGUUCUACACCCACCAUCCACCCAUUAUUUACUUUCAAAUUUGAGUUACAGCUAAUUUGUUAUACCUCCUUCCUU